This 26-nucleotide non-coding RNA is filed under the name Cricetulus griseus (Chinese hamster). The record is from RNAcentral. Lineage: Eukaryota; Metazoa; Chordata; Mammalia; Rodentia; Cricetidae.
AAAAUGUGUAGGAUACUUCUGCAAAG